GGUGUGAAUCGGCAUUGAUCGGCAAGGACCGCCAAGAUCCCCAAUGGACUCAUAAUCCGUCGGCCGUGGGUUCGAGUCCCACCCGCCCCA
Molecule: transfer RNA, 90 nt
Filed under: Streptomyces sp. V4I2
Lineage: Bacteria; Bacillati; Actinomycetota; Actinomycetes; Kitasatosporales; Streptomycetaceae
Description: tRNA-Met
Rfam family: tRNA
About the family: Transfer RNA (tRNA) molecules are approximately 80 nucleotides in length. Their secondary structure includes four short double-helical elements and three loops (D, anti-codon, and T loops).
Source: RNAcentral